AUUGCACGCUGGCGGCAUGCCUUACACAUGCAAGUCGAACGGUAACAGGUCUUCGGAUGCUGACGAGUGGCGAACGGGUGAGUAAUACAUCGGAACGUGCCUAGUAGUGGGGGAUAACUACUCGAAAGAGUGGCUAAUACCGCAUGAGAUCUACGGAUGAAAGCAGGGGAUCGCAAGACCUUGUGCUACUAGAGCGGCCGAUGGCAGAUUAGGUAGUUGGUGGGAUAAAUGCUUACCAAGCCGACGAUCUGUAGCUGGUCUGAGAGGACGAUCAGCCACACUGGGACUGAGACACGGCCCAGACUCCUACGGGAGGCAGCAGUGGGGAAUUUUGGACAAUGGGCGCAAGCCUGAUCCAGCAAGGCCGCGUGCAGGAUGAAGGCCUUCGGGUUGUAAACUGCUUUUGUACGGAACGAAAAGCCCCGGGUUAAUACCCUGGGGUCAUGACGGUACCGUAAGAAUAAGCACCGGCUAACUACGUGCCAGCCGCCGCUGUAA
RNAcentral lists this ribosomal RNA (498 nucleotides) under uncultured bacterium. RNAcentral's name for it is "partial 16S ribosomal RNA". It matches the Rfam family "Bacterial small subunit ribosomal RNA", at positions 30 to 523 of the family's 1533-position model. The record is from RNAcentral.